AGAGUUUGAUCCCUGGCUCAGAUUGAACGCUAGCGGGAUGCCUUACACAUGCAAGUCGAACGGCAGCACGGACUUCGGUCUNGUGGCGAGUGGCGAACGGGUGAGUAAUGUAUCGGAACGUGCCUAGUAGCGGGGGCAGGGGAUCGCAAGACCUUGCACUAUUAGAGCGGCCGAUAUCGGAUUAGCUAGUUGGUGGGGUAACGGCUCACCAAGGCGACGAUCCGUAGCUGGUUUGAGAGGACGACCAGCCACACUGGGACUGAGACACGGCCCAGACUCCUACGGGAGGCAGCAGUGGGGAAUUUUGGACAAUGGGGGAAACCCUGAUCCANCCAUCCCGCGGGGGAAAANAAGGCCUUCGGGUUGUAAAGCACUUUU
RNAcentral lists this ribosomal RNA (378 nucleotides) under Achromobacter sp. SFI20. RNAcentral describes it as "bacterial SSU rRNA". It matches the Rfam family "Bacterial small subunit ribosomal RNA", at positions 8 to 437 of the family's 1533-position model. Lineage: Bacteria; Pseudomonadati; Pseudomonadota; Betaproteobacteria; Burkholderiales; Alcaligenaceae. The record is from RNAcentral.